RNAcentral lists this long non-coding RNA (459 nucleotides) under Vombatus ursinus (common wombat). RNAcentral's name for it is "lncRNA (ENSVURG00010007448.1)". The record is from RNAcentral. Lineage: Eukaryota; Metazoa; Chordata; Mammalia; Diprotodontia; Vombatidae.
UUUCUUUUUGGGCAGAGUACCCCGUAGAGCUAAGGGAGGUUUCGCUUUCCGUCGCCAUGUUAAGUUCAGGCAACGGCUUCAGAGAUAUCCUAUUGGAAUCAAUAUUGAUGGGAUCUAACAAGCUUAUUGUUAAGUGUAGGAACUUUGCUGUGUUAGUAGAUCUUCAUAUUUUGCCUCAAGGCUCAAGAAAAGAAACCAGCUGGUUUUCAGAACAGAUGAAAAAGAAAUUCACUGUGGUCUUCUCUAAGGUGGAAACUUUUGAGACAUCAAGAGUCCCUAGUUAGUUCUCAUGGCAACAUCUUCAACAACUCUUCAGGAUAUAGGCUUCACAUAACAGCUUAUUUCAUCAAAAGAGGGAUUCACCUUCAUUAUAUUGUGGGGAAACUGAAUUAUGGUAAGUGGCGCGCUCUGUGCAUUCUAUUCCUUUUCGUACCAUCACUUUCCUCCAGAAAAGAAAUA